CAGUGUUAUACCUCUUUUAGAAUUUGUCCAGCAGUUUUUUUGCCUUUAGCUGGAAAACCCUU
This 62-nucleotide small nuclear RNA is filed under the name Choloepus hoffmanni (Hoffmann's two-fingered sloth). RNAcentral's name for it is "U7 small nuclear RNA (ENSCHOG00000015988.1)". It matches the Rfam family "U7 small nuclear RNA". Rfam says of the family: Animal histone pre-mRNAs are spliced by a different mechanism than nuclear pre-mRNAs and self-splicing introns. This processing involves the U7 snRNP, which contains only one RNA species: U7. The record is from RNAcentral. Lineage: Eukaryota; Metazoa; Chordata; Mammalia; Pilosa; Megalonychidae.